UUGCGGUCUGGGUCAGUUGCAGAUGCUGUCGGUCAGUUCUGUGAACUCGCGGGGCACUUGGACCGUCCCCACAGCCCACUGACCGAUCGUGUGGUCAUCAGCCAACCCGCCCCCAAGGCCGGUCAGAGGGCACAGGAGACUGACGACUGGCUGAUGUGGGAUCGGACUGUGCCAUUUUCAUCUCCAGAUGUGGACCUGGGCUCCAGCUGUGAUUCAGGAGUGAGAUGCUCCGAUGUAGAGAAUGUGGAGCGGGGACAGUGUGAAUUGGCGGGAGGUUCGCUCUCACACUUGGAGAGGGAUACAGCAGAUGGUUCCUUGAAGGAGUGUCCGAUCUGCAAACACCAAUUCCCAGAGGGAUGUGGGAAGCGAGUCCUGGAGAAACACAUCGACAGCCAUUUCUUCAUGAGCACCAACGACCCAUUCACCUUCCAGUGACCCAGCACCUCACCUUUCUGUCUAUCCCACACCCCCCACCCACUCCAUCCACAAGCUAUCAUUCCCAGCACCCGCUCCCUCAGCACUGACCCUCCCACAGCACCCACUCCCUCAGCACUGACCCUCCCACAGCACCCACUCCCUCAGCACUGACCCUCCCACAGCACCCGCUCCCUCAGCACUGACCCUCCCACAGCGCCCGCUCCCUCAGCACUGAC
Hemiscyllium ocellatum (epaulette shark) is the source of this 653-nucleotide long non-coding RNA. RefSeq lists it as uncharacterized. NCBI's taxonomy places the organism in Eukaryota, Metazoa, Chordata, Chondrichthyes, Orectolobiformes, Hemiscylliidae. The record is from RefSeq and is a predicted model, not a curated record. The transcript is spliced from 3 exons.